RNAcentral lists this transfer RNA (72 nucleotides) under Ovis aries (sheep). It matches the Rfam family "tRNA". From Rfam's summary of the family: Transfer RNA (tRNA) molecules are approximately 80 nucleotides in length. Lineage: Eukaryota; Metazoa; Chordata; Mammalia; Artiodactyla; Bovidae. The record is from Rfam by way of RNAcentral.
UUCCUGGUGGCUCAGAGGAUAAAGCGUCUGCCUGCAAUGUGGGAGACCUGGGUUCGAUUCCCAGGUUGGGAA